This 1005-nucleotide long non-coding RNA is filed under the name Coturnix japonica (Japanese quail). Its description in RNAcentral is "lncRNA (ENSCJPG00005020527.1)". Lineage: Eukaryota; Metazoa; Chordata; Aves; Galliformes; Phasianidae. The record is from RNAcentral.
AUGGGGCCGCGCGGUGCCGCGGGGCGGGCGGUGCCCUCCGGCCGGGCUAUACCGGGCUGUGCGGGGCUGUACGGGGCUGUGCGGGGCUGUACGGGGCUGUACGGAGCUGUACGGGGCUGUGCGGAGCUGUACGGAGCUGUACGGAGCUGUGCGGGGCUGUACGGAGCUGUACCGGGCUGUGCCGGGCUGUACGGGGCUGUACCGGGCUGUACCGGGCUGUACGGGGCUGUACCGGGCUGUACCGGGCUGUACGGGGCUGUACCGGGUUGUACCGGCGGCCCUCGGGCUCCUUGUCCUCCUCCCGCAGCCCGAACGCACCCGCGUAGCGCGGCGGUCCCCCCCCACCCCCCGUUUCUUAUUGUGGCACCGCCCGGAGCCGCGACCCCUUCGCCCCGCUGUGGCGGCGGGCUGAGCCCCUUCGGCUGCGGGUGGGCGGCCGAACCUUCGCGCACCGCCCGGUGCCCCCGCCCGGCUGGGGGUCGCUGUGCCGAGGACCCCGCGCUCCGCACCCUGUGCUGCCGGGCCCGGCGGGUUCCGCGCUCGCGUGGAAACAUCGUUGUGCUGAAUGUGGGCGGUGGGCGAUGUGACCGUACGGGGCGAUGUGACCGUACGGGGCGAUGUGACCGUACGGGUCGGUGUUACCGUACGGGGCAAUGUUACCGUACGGGGCAGUGUUACCGUACGGGCAGUGUUACCGUACGGGGCAGUGUUACCGUACGGGUCAGUGUUACCGUACGGGUCAGUGUUACCGUACGGGGCAGUGUUACCGUACGGGGCAGUGUUACCGUACGGGGCAGUGUUACCGUACGGGGCAGUGUUACCGUACGGGCAGUGUUACCGUACGGGGCAGUGUUACCGCACGGGGCGAUGUUACCGUACGGGUCAGUGUUACCGCACGGGGCGCCGCGUCGUGCCUUGCCCGGCAGAGCGGCAGCUGCUGCUCCCCCUGACCUUUGCCGGCCGAACCCCGCGGCCACACGGCGCUUGGCUGGAGUUUUCUAUUAA